This 450-nucleotide ribosomal RNA is filed under the name uncultured bacterium. RNAcentral's name for it is "bacterial SSU rRNA". It matches the Rfam family "Bacterial small subunit ribosomal RNA", at positions 29 to 512 of the family's 1533-position model. The record is from RNAcentral.
AACGAACGCUGGCGGCAUGCCUAACACAUGCAAGUCGAACGGGAUCCUGGCUUCGGUCAGGUGAGAGUGGCGGACGGGUGAGUAACGCGUGGGAACCUGCCCAGUGGUGGGGGAUAACUGCGGGAAACUGCAGCUAAUACCGCAUGAGCCCGAGAGGGGAAAGAUUUAUCGCCAUUGGAGGGGCCCGCGUUCGAUUAGGUAGUUGGUGAGGUAACGGCUCACCAAGCCGACGAUCGAUAGCUGGUCUGAGAGGAUGAUCAGCCACACUGGGACUGAGAUACGGCCCAGACUCCUACGGGAGGCAGCAGUGGGGAAUAUUGGACAAUGGGGGCAACCCUGAUCCAGCAAUGCCGCGUGAGUGAUGAAGGCCUUCGGGUUGUAAAGCGUCUUUUGGUCGGGGACGGAUGAUGACGGUACCGCAGAAUAAGACCCGGCUAACUUCGUGCCAGC